UAUUUCUGGAGAGAGAGAGAGGUAGAUUUUUAUGUUUAUUAUUAAGUUAGUUUCAGCUUCUGAUAGCAGGUUAUUAAGAGUUUACUUGAGGAGAGGAUUACGGAAUUUUAGUCUAUAGUGGAGGAAGUCUUUGAGAUUUUUUUUUUGACGUAACAGAUGUUUAUUUGAGGAUACUUGUAAGGAUAAAGUUUAUAGUGAUAAGUUGUUUUAAGUCGUUGAAUUUAUUGUAGAUUUAUAUCGGGGAUUAUUACGUGAGGAGAAUACGUUAUAAGUUAAAUGCUUAUUAGAGAUAAUGCAAGUGGUUUAAUUUAAUUGAAGUUCAUUUUAAGAUUGUAGGUUAAGAGAAUUAUAAUUUAAAAUAAAGUUUUUUGUCGUAAAUAGGAAUUAUUUUCAAGAGAAGUUUGUUUAGUUGUCGUGCGCGUAGGAGACGAGACGUACGAAUUAAAUCAGUCGAGGGAAGGAUAAACGUUAGAAAGGAAUUAAAGAGAAAACGAGAGUUUAUGUAAAAGAGAGUUAUAGAAUUUAUAGUGAUGUUUUGUUUUAAUUAGAAAAAUGUUGAGAGUUGUUUCAGAACGACACGUCAGUGGACGUGGCAGAGUGAACACGUGACGGGGAGGUGCUGAGACCUAGCGGAGAACGGAGGAACCGCAAGCGAGGGUUGGCGCACCUGAUGGAAUUCGGUGACGUCACGGGCUCAUACGGAGACGUGGACAGGCCGUGACCUUGUUUUGAUCAGCUGUACGGUAACUUAACGAUAAGAAAAUAGACUAUUGGUUAAAUAAAUUUAAAUUUAAGUGUGUUUUAGGAGAAGAGGAACUUUCAGUAUAUUCCUUAAGAUGAGCUGAGCAGCAGUCCAGUUUACAAGAUGACAAGAGUUCGAGAGACAAGAUACAAGAUCACUGAAACAAGAGCCAAGACUGAAGAUUCAAGAGAAGAGAAAGCUGGCAGCCAUGGACUUACAAGUGGAGAUUAAUAAGGUCAUGUAAAGUUUUAUUUUUUUUUAUGGAAGACAGUAACUGGAGUUUUUUUUUGUUAUAAACAUUAUUUACAGAACUUUUUAGGUUAUAGUAAUGUAAUGGAACUAGUGAGUUGUGGUAGCUGUCAAAAAGAACUAAUACCUUAAGUUUAAUUUUUAAAGUUAAUUUUCUUAAUUUACAGAGGGAUUAGUAGUUUUUUUUAAAACCUUAUUUAGGUUGGAAUUUAAAUACAAUAGCUUAUUAUAAAUGUGUACGAACAGUUCAAGUUCACAGUACUGAUAGGUAGGUCAGAUGAUCUUAUUGAUUUUGAUGAUUUGUUGUUUUGAGUUGAUUUUUAAGUGUUGUGAAUUAGACAAUGAAAUAGUUCUGAAAACUUAAAUUAUUUCAAGCUAAGAAAUAGUAAAGUUAAUUGUAACUCAAAGGACACCAGAAUUUAAUUUUUUUUUGAAUUAGUAAUGUUUGAAAAUUUUAUACUUUACAAGAAAGGUUAUAAACAAACAGAUCGGAUGGAACAAGGAUGCAGUAAAUCACAAUUUCAUUUAGAAUUAUUGAUUAGCUUUUGAGGUUAUGAAGGAAAAGUAGCUAUAAUUUAAAAAUUUGAAUAAAAAUGGUUUUUUUUUAUUUGUUUGAAAUAGAAAGUUUAAAAGUUAAUUAGUCAUGAUCUAGGUGGGUGAUGGGGUGGGAAUUGGCCACUCUUUUUCCCUAUAACCUCCCUAACAUGGCCUUCUAUUACAACUAACAGAAAUAAAGAAGAAGAAAAAUGAAGAAUUAUUAGUUAGAAUGUUUCUUUCAUGAAGAUACCUGAUGAACUUUUACUGUUUGGAAGAAUAGAAGCAAGGUUAGUCAGAUAUUUUUACUCAGAAGAAGAAGAAGAUAAAGCAGUUUUAUGACUCGACAAGCCAGAGAUUGGUGUUUCCCCUCUGCGCUUCUAUUGACUACGUUGUUUACUCUCAUGGGAUAGCUGGUUCGGCACCAUGGAGAGAGAUUGGUGGGCAUUGUGGUUGCCCCCAGAAGAAAAGAAGAGUAGAAGAGGUUAUGGGUGGGUCAUGUGAACUGACCUUCAACCCAGUUACUUCGUGGGGACUAUUUGCUGUAUAGAGAAGAUCAAGACUCAAGAGUUAGGGAAAAUCAUUGGAGGUCAUGUUUCCCUUCCUUAAGUUUUUCCUAUCAAAUUAUUUGCCUGAUUAGAUUAUGCUAAGGGUGGGAUACUUUAUGUUAGCAGUUGAAUUAAUUAAUUUUAUUUUUUUGUGUGUUUGCAUCCUUGCCCAUCGAUUGCAGUUUAGUAGUUAGUUUUGUAUUUGUCAGGCGUGAUGGUAAUGCCUGUUGAUGAUGUUUCAGAAUUGUAAUCUGUUCGUGAUGAGGAUGGCACAACUCCGAAGCAGAUGUGGGGAGAAGUUGUGAGCUGCCCUGGAAGCCAGUCCAGUAGCUGUUGGAGUUGAGUGGUGUUUGCUGAUGGCCAGCCCAGGGAGCUACUCUUCUCGACAACACUGACUUCGAGGAGUUGCACCAACCUUCACGAGAUAAGAGUUUAAUUAAUUGAAACACUGUAAGGACACUUAAUUUUUUUUUAAGAACGAAAGAAGUAUGGUAAUAAACGGAAACCGAAAAAAAAAAAAUAAUAAUAAUUAUCAAGAAUUUGCACAUUGUUUAACGAAUACUGAGAAACUAAGAACAGUAAUUUAAUUUGUAAAGAGAGCUUCACUAACAGAACAAUUUUUUUAGAAUUGAGAACUCGAGCCUCUGAAGGUUCCUGUGAGAACAAACCAGAUAAAAGUUUUACAUUUAAUUUUAUGAAUACUUGUUGUUUUAAAAUAAAUCUUAUGCAGAAUCUAGAUGUAUGUUCAGACAGCAAGGAACUAAGAAAAUUAUUAUUUUUGUGAAAUGAGGAAUUUAUAGUUAUGGUUUAAUGGAAAAAGACAAUUUGUAAUUUUGAGGUAGCUCGAUGGGGCUCGAGCUCUGUGAGGGGAGGGUUAUGUCGCGGGUUGAAAUUUUGCAGGGUUGUUGAAAUCAAAUUUAGGGACUUUACUGACGGGACUCUGGGCUGGCUGCUCUGUUCACUCGUCAGCGCAAGUGGCGUGACCAUGUAAUUGGGGCACGGGGCCGGCGCGGCGCGCUGCGGGCUUGCAGAAUUUUGUUUGUUUGUUUGGCCGCGCGCUGGCGCAGCCACGGGCCGCAGUUACUGGGGCGCGCUGUCGUAACAAGCCGCGCGGUGUGGCCUGCACAUUGGGGUAGAGGGGGGGUAGUCUUCCCAGAUGUUCUAGUUAGUUGUUUAGUAAAUUUGACUUCAAUAACGAGCUUUUGUUAUGGUAGGCGCGGCAGGGCGCGCGAAUUUAAGCGCAAGUGAGUGGUGACUCGGGGCUCACUCAGGCGGAGGCUAUGCGUCUCACCUGUGGUCACGAGUUGUUAGUUCGUUCGUGAUGUAGGAAUUCAAGCUUUCGGGCGGAAGCUAUGGUCGACGCCAGAGGCCACGAGUCGUUUAAUUUAAGUUAGGUCAUAAUGUAGUCGUCAAGCUUUCGGGCGGAGGCUAUGGCCCUCGUCAGGGGUCACGCGUCAUAGUUUUUAAAAUGUAAUGUUCGUUCGGGAUUUCAAGGGCAGGAGAGGCCCCUACGUUAUUUUUUUAAAGUAAUCGAUCAAGAAAGGCUUUUCGGAAAAUGUGAGUAUGGACUUAUCUUUGUUUUAAUUUUAAGUAUUAAUUAUGAUUUGAGGUAUUCGGAAGGACUAGGGAAGUGUUUAGUGAAGUUCUCUCAUUCUCUCUCUUGUAAGGUCGUUCAAUCGUUAAGGAAGUAAAGAGAUUAUUGUUUUAAAUUGUAAUCCCGCUAUUUAAAUGUUCUUUAAAAUGAUGUUGAGUAUUUGACUUUAAGAAUAAAAUAAUUUUAAUUAAGUAUUAUGUUAUUUUGCAAAAUCUCCUUAGUUCAGCUCUCACCAGACAUCCUGUACGGGAUGACGAACCUAUGAUCCUAGGUACAGUAAAGUAUUUUAUGAAGUUAAGACUAGUUGAUGCCAAGCGAGUUGUUUCUAUGUAAAGAGCUACGAUUCUCUCCCCCCUCUGAAGGUGCACGUGACAGAAAUGGCGGUGGCACCGGCUAGGUGCACGUGACAAUAUAUAGGUACCUCAUGUGUGGUCCGGAGUUAGAAUUGAGGGGUAACGAAAUGUAAAACGCGAACCUGCAAUAAAUAUUUUACCUGGAAAGUCCUUUUGACGUACUGUAGAUAAAUGAAAUCUAAACGUAAAACACUCCAAGCUACUGAAUUACAAACUAAAUGAAAUGACGGUUUUGACAUCGUAUGACCGAAGGCCACCCCAAAGCCCGACCUGCACCCGCCAGUACUCGGCUCUGCUAACGGAAAGCACCCCUAGCCAUGGCCCACCCGAGUCAAGUGAGCGGACCGCAGCCCAAGGUAGAGAAUAGCGAACCAUUUUAAUUACGCAUGCAAUGCACUCCCCGUGCCUACAAAAUUCCCCACACAAUAAUAACGUAAUCAAAAACAAACAAAAGCCCCUAAUUAAUAAAGUGCGACGUAGGAGUGCCCGUCACUCACGUGUAGUUUUCUACUAAAACAGCUGUGAGUGCAACCCUUGCGGCCUUCAGCCUAAAUUCAGUAGUGAAACGUGUGACAUAACGCAAACCGCCCCAAAUUAGCAUUAUCAUUCGCCAAUGGAGUAGUUAUCAAGAAACAGACAGUCUCCAGCUUGACUCUAAUAUUCAAACUUAUUUUAGACAAACUUAUUAAAUGUCAAUUCUAUAACAUAUAUAGAUAUUAAAUUAAUCAUUAUGUUUUAUUAUGUGAAUUUAGAGCCACUUAAAUUUAGUUAGUUAUAUAGAUUUUUACGAAUAACGGAACUUUAGAAACUCUGGCACGACAGGGAGCUCACCCCUCCCCUCGUGCCAGGGCUGCACGCCAGUACAGCGCGACUCGCGGACCGGGACGGACGCACGUCCCACGGGGAGCCAGCAUCUCUUUGUUUCACCGAACGUCCAUCUGGUAAUUAUAGUCACAACCAAAACCUUUUCUUUAAUACUCCCCGUGUGCGCCGGGUCCUUUUCCGGUGAAGGGCCUAACCCAGCCACGUCAAUUUAACACGCCCCACACAAAGCAUUACGUGGGGCCGUGCAGUAUACGGUACGGGCCGUCUCCCGCCACCCCAGAACUUUAUUUAAUCGCCCAGUGCACAGGCACAGGCUACAUUCAAACUCAAACGUGUUUUUAAUUUAGUAGCGAGCCGCGGUCCGCACAGGUGGGCCCGCGCGUCGCAAGUUACAGAUUACGAGAUUAGCCGAUGCUAAUCGAACGCUCUCCCUCGACUGCAACUGGCGUGAGGACUUAAGUAAAUGCACGUAGAGGCACGCAGGUGUCCCUCUCAGAUAACGUGUGCAGUGUAAUCGUGUACGUAAAAGCACCACCGAGUGCCGUUUUAUCAAGUGUAAUUAUAAUAAUAGUGUAAUCAAAACUUCUACGUGUUCCGACGCCUCAUUGGCAGUCAUGUUCCGCCGAGUAAACCUCGCGCCCAAUGUAAUGAACCAGUGUCAAUCGUGAACAAUAAAAAGUCCACCCCGCACCCCCCGUGCGCGACGUGCGACCCGUAGAACAACCAGAA
Bacillus rossius redtenbacheri is the source of this 5574-nucleotide long non-coding RNA. RefSeq lists it as uncharacterized. The record is from RefSeq and is a predicted model, not a curated record. Lineage: Eukaryota; Metazoa; Arthropoda; Insecta; Phasmatodea; Bacillidae. The transcript is spliced from 2 exons.